This 74-nucleotide transfer RNA is filed under the name Oreochromis niloticus (Nile tilapia). It matches the Rfam family "tRNA". Rfam says of the family: Transfer RNA (tRNA) molecules are approximately 80 nucleotides in length. Their secondary structure includes four short double-helical elements and three loops (D, anti-codon, and T loops). Lineage: Eukaryota; Metazoa; Chordata; Actinopteri; Cichliformes; Cichlidae. The record is from Rfam by way of RNAcentral.
GGAUCUGUGGCUUAACUAGUCAAAGCACUUAUCUAGUAAACAGGAGAUCCUGGGUUCAAAUCCCAGCAGUGCCU